Molecule: long non-coding RNA, 437 nt
Organism: Acanthaster planci (crown-of-thorns starfish)
Lineage: Eukaryota; Metazoa; Echinodermata; Asteroidea; Valvatida; Acanthasteridae
Source: RefSeq, a predicted model, not a curated record
GCCACGGCAAACUGGAAAUUGAGACCUUUAGUCAUAUACUGAGGUGUUGGUUGAAACCCACCAGAAUAAACAUAUACCUGGAUAGCCCAUGGAAUGCUUGAGUGAGUUACAAUUGUCAACAGCCUUUGUGAGAUUUAUGAAUACAAAAUCAGCACCCGUUGUUGUCAAACACUAGUCUUUUGCCUAGCUGAUCACGACGACGAGUUGUUCCCGAAACGUUCCGCCAUCGUGUGGAUGUGCCCUACAAGACACCUACUCAGGUGCCUAGCUGGCAUAAACCCCCAAGGCAGAACCAAGACUGGGCGGAAGACAGGAGUUCAUACAGGUGUAUUGAAGCUUGCAAAUGACCUGAAGGCGUUUGAAAAUGAAAGGCAUUUGUAAUGGGCAACCUGCACAGCCUAGUUGGCAUGGCCAAGUAACCGUAACAAAUGACUUCU